This 490-nucleotide ribosomal RNA is filed under the name uncultured bacterium. Its description in RNAcentral is "partial 16S ribosomal RNA". It matches the Rfam family "Bacterial small subunit ribosomal RNA", at positions 30 to 507 of the family's 1533-position model. The record is from RNAcentral.
AUUGAACGCUGGCGGCAGGCCUAACACAUGCAAGUCGAACGGUAACAGGAAGAAGCUUUCUUCUUUGCUGACGAGUGGCGGACGGGUGAGUAAUGUCUGGGAAACUGCCUGAUGGAGGGGGAUAACUACUGGAAACGGUAGCUAAUACCGCAUAACGUCGCAAGACCAAAGAGGGGGACAUUCGGGCCUCUUGCCAUCGGAUGUGCCCAGAUGGGAUUAGCUAGUAGGUGGGGUAACGGCUCACCUAGGCGACGAUCCCUAGCUGGUCUGAGAGGAUGACCAGCCACACUGGAACUGAGACACGGUCCAGACUCCUACGGGAGGCAGCAGUGGGGAAUAUUGCACAAAGGGCGCAAGCCUGAUGCAGCCAUGCCGCGUGUAUGAAGAAGGCCUUCGGGUUGUAAAGUACUUUCAGCGGGGAGGAAGGGAGUAAAGUUAAUACCUUUGCUCAUUGACGUUACCCGCAGAAGAAGCACCGGCUAACUCCGUG